This 162-nucleotide ribosomal RNA is filed under the name Fusarium sp. RNAcentral's name for it is "partial large subunit ribosomal RNA". It matches the Rfam family "Eukaryotic large subunit ribosomal RNA", at positions 99 to 261 of the family's 3401-position model. Lineage: Eukaryota; Fungi; Ascomycota; Sordariomycetes; Hypocreales; Nectriaceae. The record is from RNAcentral.
CGGCAACAGCUCAAAUUUGAAAUCUGGCCUCUUUGGGGUCCGAGUUGUAAUUUGUAGAGGAUACUUUUGAUGCGGUGCCUUCCGAGUUCCCUGGAACGGGACGCCAUAGAGGGUGAGAGCCCCGUCUGGUUGGAUGCCAAAUCUCUGUAAAGUUCCUUCAAC